Molecule: ribosomal RNA, 253 nt
Filed under: uncultured bacterium
Lineage: Bacteria
Description: partial 16S ribosomal RNA
Rfam family: Bacterial small subunit ribosomal RNA
Source: RNAcentral
UACAGAGGUCUCAAGCGUUGUUCGGAUUCAUUGGGCGUAAAGGGCGCGUAGGCGGCGGGGUAAGUCGGGUGUGAAAUCUCAGAGCUCAACUCUGAAAUGGCACUUGAUACUGCUCUGCUAGAGGACUGGAGAGGAGAUUGGAAUUCACGGUGUAGCAGUGAAAUGCGUAGAUAUCGUGAGGAAGACCGGUGGCGAAGGCGGAUCUCUGGACAGUUCCUGACGCUGAGGCGCGAAGGCCAGGGGAGUAAACGGG